AAAGUCGUAACAAGGUCUCCGUUGGUGAACCAGCGGAGGGAUCAUUACAGAGUUGCAAAACUCCCAACCCUUUGUGAACGAACCUACCAGUUGCUUCGGCAGGUGGCCCUUCAGGGGGCGGCCUGCCGAAGGACCCUUAACUCUUGAUUUUUUGGCAUCUCUGAGUACCUAUAAAAUAAGUUAAAACUUUCAACAACGGAUCUCUUGGUUCUG
This 213-nucleotide unclassified non-coding RNA is filed under the name Ascomycota sp. Its description in RNAcentral is "partial contains small subunit ribosomal RNA, internal transcribed spacer 1, and 5.8S ribosomal RNA". The stretch from base 1 to 47 matches the Rfam family "Eukaryotic small subunit ribosomal RNA", at positions 1785 to 1831 of the family's 1831-position model. The record is from RNAcentral. Lineage: Eukaryota; Fungi; Ascomycota.